This 643-nucleotide long non-coding RNA is filed under the name Anser cygnoides (Swan goose). Its description in RNAcentral is "lncRNA (ENSACDG00005007923.1)". Lineage: Eukaryota; Metazoa; Chordata; Aves; Anseriformes; Anatidae. The record is from RNAcentral.
CGAAACCCCCCAAAUUCCUACAGCGGAGCCCCAAAACCACCCAAACCCUUACGGGGAGCCUCGAAACCACCAAAAUUCCCAGUGGGGAGCCUUAAAACCCCCGUAAUUCUCAGAGGGGAGCCCCGAAACCACCCAAACUCCCCCCUGGGGAGCCCCGAAACCAAAACUUUUAUGGGGGAGCCCCAAAACCACCCAAAUCCCCCCGGGGAGCCCCAAAACCACCCCAAUCCCCCCCGGGGGAGCCCCGAAACCGCCGGCGGCCGGACAGAGCAGCGAGACGAGGAGCAGGGGGCGAAGAAAGUCAUCGAGAACCUGAAACCGAGGGGAACGGCCCCGAAACGCGGCCCCGCGGCAAUAAAUAGGGGGUCCCCGGCCCCACGGGGGGGGGCCCGAUAAAAAGGGGGGGGGGUCCUCAGGUCAAACGAGGGGGCCCCAGUAUAAAAAGGGGGCUCCCAGUACAAAGAGGGGGGCCCCAGUAAAAAGGGGCUCCACGCUGGGGGGGGCUCUGCCUCCAAAAAGGGGUCCCCGGCCCCAAAAUGCGGGGUCUGACCCCAAAACGGGAGUGUUUGACCCCAAAACGGGGGGGUCCCCGACACCAGAUGGCGGUCCCCGGCACUAAAAGGAGGGUUUUGAGCCCCAAAAA